UGGGGAAUAUUGGACAAUGGGCGAAAGCCUGAUCCAGCAAUGCCGCGUGAGUGAUGAAGGCCUUAGGGUUGUAAAGCUCUUUUACCAGGGAUGAUAAUGACGGUACUCGGAGAAGAAGCUCCGGCUAACUUCGUGCCAGCAGCCGCGGUAAUACGAAGGGGGCUAGCGUUGUUCGGAUUUACUGGGCGUAAAGCGCGUGUAGGCGGGUCGUUAAGUUGGGGGUGAAAUCCCGAGGCUCAACCUCGGAACUGCCUUCAAAACUGGCGACCUGGACCUAAGUAGAGGCAAGUGGAAUUGCGAGUGUAGAGGUGAAAUUCGUAGAUAUUCGCAGGAACACCAGUGGCGAAGGCGACUUGCUGGACUUAUGGUGACGCUGAGACGCGAAAGCGUGGGGAGCAAACAGGAUUAGAUACCCCAGUAGUCCCUGAGCGGGCUGGCAAGGCGCAU
RNAcentral lists this ribosomal RNA (447 nucleotides) under uncultured bacterium. RNAcentral's name for it is "bacterial SSU rRNA". It matches the Rfam family "Bacterial small subunit ribosomal RNA", at positions 355 to 825 of the family's 1533-position model. The record is from RNAcentral.